Molecule: ribosomal RNA, 468 nt
Filed under: uncultured bacterium
Lineage: Bacteria
Description: partial 16S ribosomal RNA
Rfam family: Bacterial small subunit ribosomal RNA
Source: RNAcentral
GACGAACGCUGGCGGCGUGCUUAACACAUGCAAGUCGAACGGAAAGGCCCUGCUUUUGUGGGGUGCUCGAGUGGCGAACGGGUGAGUAACACGUGAGUAACCUGCCCUUGACUUUGGUAUAACUUCAGGAAACUGGGGCUAAUACCGGAUAGGAGCUCCUGCUGCAUGGUGGGGGUUGGAAAGUUUCGGCGGUUGGGGAUGGACUCGCGGCUUAUCAGCUUGUUGGUGGGGUAGUGGCUUACCAAGGCUUUGACGGGUAGCCGGCCUGAGAGGGUGGACGGCGACAUGGGGACUGAGAGACGGCCCAGACUCGUACGGGAGGCAGCAGGGGGGAAUAUUGCACAAUGAGCGGAAGCCUGAUGCAGAAACGCCGCGUGCGGGAUGACGGCCUUCGGGUUGUAAACCGCUUUCGCCUGUGACGAAGCGUGAGUGACGGUAAUGGGUAAAGAAGCACCGGCUAACUACGUG